UACGGAGGGUGCAAGCGUUAUCCGGAUUUACUGGGUUUAAAGGGUGUGUAGGCGGGCUGUUAAGUCAGUGGUGAAAUCUCCGGGCUCAACCCGGAAACUGCCAUUGAUACUAAUGGUCUUGAAUUUUGUUGAGGUAGGCGGAAUAAGUCAUGUAGCGGUGAAAUGCAUAGAUAUGACUUAGAACACCAAUUGCGAAGGCAGCUUGCUAAACAAAUAUUGACGCUGAGGCACGAAAGCGUGGGGAUCAAACAGG
Molecule: ribosomal RNA, 253 nt
Filed under: uncultured bacterium
Lineage: Bacteria
Description: partial 16S ribosomal RNA
Rfam family: Bacterial small subunit ribosomal RNA
Source: RNAcentral